Molecule: ribosomal RNA, 949 nt
Filed under: Inocybe mytiliodora
Lineage: Eukaryota; Fungi; Basidiomycota; Agaricomycetes; Agaricales; Inocybaceae
Description: partial large subunit ribosomal RNA
Rfam family: Eukaryotic large subunit ribosomal RNA
Source: RNAcentral
UUUUACCCGCUGAAAACUAAGCAUAUCAAUAAGCGGAGGAAAAGAAACUAACAAGGAUUCCCCUAGUAACUGCGAGUGAAGCGGGAAAAGCUCAAAUUUGAAAUCUGGCAGCUCUUGGAACUGUCCGAAUUGUAAUCUAGAGAAGUGUUACCUGUGCUGGACCGUGUACAAGUCUUCUGGAAUGGAGCAUCACAGAGGGUGAGAAUCCCGUCUUUGACACGGACUGCCUGCAUGUUGUGGUGCGCUCUCGAAGAGUCGAGUUGUUUGGGAAUGCAGCUCAAAAUGGGUGGUAAAUGCCAUCUAAAGCUAAAUAUUGGCGAGAGACCGAUAGCGAACAAGUACCGUGAGGGAAAGAUGAAAAGAACUUUGGAAAGAGAGUUAAACAGUACGUGAAAUUGCUGAAAGGGAAACGCUUGAAGUCAGUCGCGUUGGCUAGAAAUCAGCCUUGCUUUUGCUUGGUGUACUUUCUGGUUGAUGGGUCAGCAUCAAUUUUGACCAUUGGAUAAAGUCAUCGGGAAUGUGGCAUCUUAGGAUGUGUUAUAGCCCAUUGUCGCAUACAGUGGUUGGGAUUGAGGAACUCAGCACGCCGCAAAGGCCGGGUUUUUUAAACCACGUUCGUGCUUAGGAUGCUGGCAUAAUGGCUUUAAUCGACCCGUCUUGAAACACGGACCAAGGAGUCUAACAUGCCUGCGAGUGUUUGGGUGGAAAACCCAUGCGCGCAAUGAAAGUGAAAGUUGAGAUCCUCUCCUUGGGGGGGAGCAUUGACGCCCGGACCAGACCUUUUGUGACGGAUCUGCGGUAGAGCAUGUAUGUUGGGACCCGAAAGAUGGUGAACUAUGCCUGAAUAGGGUGAAGCCAGAGGAAACUCUGGUGGAGGCUCGUAGCGAUUCUGACGUGCAAAUCGAUCGUCAAAUUUGGGUAUAGGGGCGAAAGACUAAUCGAACCCUUU